GAUGAACGCUGGCGGCGUGCCUAAUACAUGCAAGUCGAACGAAACUUCUUUAUCACCGAGUGCUUGCACUCACCGAUAAAGAGUUGAGUGGCGAACGGGUGAGUAACACGUGGGCAACCUGCCCAAAAGAGGGGGAUAACACUUGGAAACAGGUGCUAAUACCGCAUAACCAUAGUUACCGCAUGGUAACUAUGUAAAAGGUGGCUAUACUACCGCUUUUGGAUGGGCCCGCGGCGCAUUAGCUAGUUGGUAGGGUAAAGGCUUACCAAGGCAAUGAUGCGUAGCCGAAUUGAGAGGUUGAUCGGCCACAUUGGGACUGAGACACGGCCCAAACUCCUACGGGAGGCAACAGUAGGGAAUCUUCCACAAUGGGCGAAAGCCUGAUGGAGCAACGCCGCGUGGGUGAAGAAGGUCUUCGGAUCGUAAAACCCUGUUGUUAGAGAAGAAAGUGCGUGAGAGUAACUGUUCACGUUUCGACGGUAUCUAACCAGAAAGCCACGGCUAACUACGUG
Molecule: ribosomal RNA, 512 nt
Filed under: uncultured bacterium
Lineage: Bacteria
Description: partial 16S ribosomal RNA
Rfam family: Bacterial small subunit ribosomal RNA
Source: RNAcentral